GAUGAACGCUAGCGGCAGGCUUAACACAUGCAAGUCGAGGGGUAUAGUUCUUCGGAAUUAGAGACCGGCGCACGGGUGCGUAACGCGUAUGCAAUCUACCUUUCACAGAGGGAUAGCCCCAGAGAAAUUUGGAUUAAUACCUCAUAGUAUAGCAGUUUCGCAUGAAACCACUAUUAAAGUCACAACGGUGAAAGAUGAGCAUGCGUCCCAUUAGCUAGUUGGUAAGGUAACGGCUUACCAAGGCAACGAUGGGUAGGGGUCCUGAGAGGGAGAUCCCCCACACUGGUACUGAGACACGGACCAGACUCCUACGGGAGGCAGCAGUGAGGAAUAUUGGACAAUGGGCGCAAGCCUGAUCCAGCCAUGCCGCGUGCAGGAUGACGGUCCUAUGGAUUGUAAACUGCUUUUGUACAGGAAGAAACACUGGUUCGUGAACCAGCUUGACGGUACUGUAAGAUAAGGAUCGGCUAACUCCGUGCCAGCAGCCG
Molecule: ribosomal RNA, 488 nt
Filed under: uncultured bacterium
Lineage: Bacteria
Description: bacterial SSU rRNA
Rfam family: Bacterial small subunit ribosomal RNA
Source: RNAcentral